This is a long non-coding RNA of Balaenoptera ricei (Rice's whale), 496 nucleotides long. RefSeq lists it as uncharacterized. The transcript has 3 exons. NCBI's taxonomy places the organism in Eukaryota, Metazoa, Chordata, Mammalia, Artiodactyla, Balaenopteridae. The record is from RefSeq and is a predicted model, not a curated record.
GCCGCCCCAGCCCCAGUUUGUAGCGCUGCGGGAAGAGGCCAGGCUGGUUACCUUUCCUUCGUUAAAUCCGUUUCCGUUUUCUUCUCCGUUAGGAGUGACUGGGUGAGCUUUGGCUUAUUAAGCACCCGGCUUCAAACCGCGACCGCCCCAGAGAGAUCUCACAUCAUUUCAGACUAACGGAGGCAGGAAAAGAAGAUAUCAGAAGUAAAUACUGGGUUUUCCAUCUACUUUAUUAGUUUACGAAUGAAAAGCAGCAGGGCCACAGACAGUCCAAGGGCAGCCCCUUUUCAAGAACAUCUGACUCCCUCCGGUUUCCCCUGGCUCACAACAAACUGUAGCCCUGCAUUCUGCCUGCAUGAGAAGAAAUCACAAAUGGAUAAAGGUUGGAGAGUUGCUUAAGACAAGAGGUCAGUAGUCGAGGACAAUUAUCCUGACUCAAUCUGUUAACAAUACAGUUAACACGAGCUUUGAGAAGAAAAGCAUCAUAGUUUUGAAG